This 380-nucleotide ribosomal RNA is filed under the name Eosipho coriolis. Its description in RNAcentral is "partial 12S ribosomal RNA". It matches the Rfam family "Bacterial small subunit ribosomal RNA", at positions 875 to 1384 of the family's 1533-position model. Lineage: Eukaryota; Metazoa; Mollusca; Gastropoda; Neogastropoda; Buccinidae. The record is from RNAcentral.
CACUAUUCAUAACUGUAAAUAAAUUAAGUGUUUACCAGAGUACUAUGAAUAUCUAAAAAAUUUAAAACUCAAAGGGCUUGGCGGUGUUUUAGACCUAUCAGGGGAACCUGUCUCGUAAUCGACAAUCCGCGUAAAACCUAACCCUAUUUUGUACCCAGUUUGUAUACCGUCGUCGUCAGGUAACUUUUAAAAAAUUAGAAGUUAGCAAUAAAAAUAAAAUAGAUUAAUACGUCAGAUCAUGGUGCAGCUAAUGAAAGGGAGAGGAUGGGUUACAAUUAUGUAUUUAUAAUUACGGAUAGUUAAGUGAAAGUAUAACUUGAAGGAGGACUUGAAAGUAAAAUAAAAUAUAUAAACAAUUUGAAUAGGGCUCUGAAACGUGC